UCUACUCUAUUACAAUCGCAUCGCAACCUUAUUGACGUCGCCGCAACCACGAAACCUUGCUAGUAACCAACACGGUCGUCCUCGUCGUCGGCGGCGGCGAACAAGUCCCGGCACAGCUCGCGGUAGAAUCGAGAGACCAAGUCGACGAAAACCGGGCACGUGAGGUUCUUCCAACAGAGGAGGAGCUCCUCCACGUCCAUGAGAUCCCUCACUUUCCCUUCUUCCACCAUCAUUUCCACCAAGUAGUUCUCGAAGCUCCUGCACGCAUCCUCCACUUCGUCAACGCCGCCGUCGCUGUCCCAGCCCCUCCUCUUCAAGGACUUGGAGGGAGCGCUGCCGAUUGCUGAAGGCGCUGCCGGCGUGAUCGGCGAGGGAAACAGCAGCCUCUCGCGUCC
This 395-nucleotide long non-coding RNA is filed under the name Eucalyptus grandis. RNAcentral describes it as "long non-coding RNA (EGRA_LNC006013)". Lineage: Eukaryota; Viridiplantae; Streptophyta; Magnoliopsida; Myrtales; Myrtaceae. The record is from RNAcentral.